GGGCUGGGGCUCAGUGGUAGAGCACUUGCCUGGCAUGUGUGAGGCACUGGGUUCAAUUCUCAGCAACACA
RNAcentral lists this transfer RNA (70 nucleotides) under Marmota monax (woodchuck). RNAcentral describes it as "tRNA.Ala". The stretch from base 5 to 65 matches the Rfam family "tRNA", at positions 6 to 65 of the family's 71-position model. Rfam says of the family: Transfer RNA (tRNA) molecules are approximately 80 nucleotides in length. Their secondary structure includes four short double-helical elements and three loops (D, anti-codon, and T loops). Further hydrogen bonds mediate the characteristic L-shaped molecular structure. tRNAs have two regions of fundamental functional importance: the anti-codon, which is responsible for specific mRNA codon recognition, and the 3' end, to which the tRNAs corresponding amino acid is attached (by aminoacyl-tRNA synthetases). tRNAs cope with the degeneracy of the genetic code in two manners: having more than one tRNA (with a specific anti-codon) for a particular amino acid; and 'wobble' base-pairing, i.e. permitting non-standard base-pairing at the 3rd anti-codon position. The record is from RNAcentral. Lineage: Eukaryota; Metazoa; Chordata; Mammalia; Rodentia; Sciuridae.